GGGUGGAUUAGUGGCGACGGGUGAGUAACACGUGGGCAAUCUGCCCUUCACUCUGGGACAAGCCCUGGAAACGGGGUCUAAUACCGGAUAACACCCUCGCGGGCAUCUGCGAGGGUUGAAAGCUCCGGCGGUGAAGGAUGAGCCCGCGGCCUAUCAGCUUGUUGGUGAGGUAAUGGCUCACCAAGGCGACGACGGGUAGCCGGCCUGAGAGGGCGACCGGCCACACUGGGACUGAGACACGGCCCAGACUCCUACGGGAGGCAGCAGUGGGGAAUAUUGCACAAUGGGCGAAAGCCUGAUGCAGCGACGCCGCGUGAGGGAUGACGGCCUUCGGGUGGUAAACCUCUUUCACCAGGGAAGAAGCGAGAGUGACGGUACCUGCAAAAAAAGCGCCGGCUACUACGUGCCAGCAGCCCCGGUAAUACGUAGGGGCCAGCGUUUUCCGGAAUUAUUGGGGUUAAAAGCUCUUAGGCGCUUGGCCCCUCAAUUGGAAAACCC
RNAcentral lists this ribosomal RNA (498 nucleotides) under Streptomyces sp. SB-1. RNAcentral's name for it is "bacterial SSU rRNA". It matches the Rfam family "Bacterial small subunit ribosomal RNA", at positions 85 to 602 of the family's 1533-position model. Lineage: Bacteria; Bacillati; Actinomycetota; Actinomycetes; Kitasatosporales; Streptomycetaceae. The record is from RNAcentral.